This 2166-nucleotide ribosomal RNA is filed under the name activated sludge metagenome. Its description in RNAcentral is "bacterial LSU rRNA". It matches the Rfam family "Bacterial large subunit ribosomal RNA", at positions 1 to 1989 of the family's 2925-position model. The record is from RNAcentral.
UCAAAUCUUUAAGAGCAAACGGUGGAUGCCUUGGCAUCUGGAGCCGAAGAAGGACGUAGCAAUCUGCGAUAAGCCUCGGGGAGUGGAUAAGCACACUUUGAUCCGAGGAUUUCCGAAUGGGGAAACCCCGCUGGGCGGCGUGCCGACCCAGUGACUCCCGCCUGAAUAUAUAGGGCGGGUAGAGGGAACGUGGGGAAGUGAAACAUCUCAGUACCCACAGGAAGAGAAAGCAACCGCGAUUCCGUUAGUAGUGGCGAGCGAAACCGGAACAGGCUAAACCGAGUAUGUGUGAUAUCCGGCAGGAGUUGCAUAUUCGGGGUUGAGGGACUUUUCAGGUUGAUCUGCCGAUCAGCCGGCGUUACAGAUCGAUAUAGACGAAUGGUCUUGAAAGGCCAGUCAUAGAGGGUGCCAACCCCGUAGUCGAAAUGUUGUUGAUGGCGCGAGAAGUAUCCCAAGUAGCACGGGGCCCGAGAAAUCCCGUGUGAAUCUGUCAGGACCACCUGAUAAGCCUAAAUACUCCCAGAUGACCGAUAGCGGACAAGUACCGUGAGGGAAAGGUGAAAAGUACCCCGGGAGGGGAGUGAAAUAGUACCUGAAACCGUUUGCUUACAAACCGUUGGAGCAGCCUUGUUGCUGUGACAGCGUGCCUUUUGAAGAAUGAGCCUGCGAGUUAGCGAUAUGUGGCGAGGUUAACCCGAGUGGGGUAGCCGUAGCGAAAGCGAGUCUGAAUAGGGCGAUUCAGUCGCAUGUCCUAGACCCGAAGCGAAGUGAUCUAUCCAUGGCCAGGUUGAAGCGCGUGUAAGAGCGCGUGGAGGACCGAACCCACUUAGGUUGAAAACUGAGGGGAUGAGCUGUGGAUAGGGGUGAAAGGCCAAUCAAACUUCGUGAUAGCUGGUUCUCUCCGAAAUGCAUUUAGGUGCAGCGUUGCGUGUUUCUUGCCGGAGGUAGAGCUACUGGAUGGCCGAUGGGGCCCAAAAGCUUACUGACGUCAGCCAAACUCCGAAUGCCGGUAAGUGAGAGCGCAGCAGUGAGACUGUGGGGGAUAAGCUUCAUAGUCGAGAGGGAAACAACCCAGACCACCAUCUAAGGUCCCUAAGCGCGUGCUAAGUGGGAAAGGAUGUGGAGUUGCUUUGACAACCAGGAGGUUGGCUUAGAAGCAGCCACCCUUGAAAGAGUGCGUAAUAGCUCACUGGUCAAGUGAUUCCGCGCCGACAAUGUAACGGGGCUCAAGCACGCCACCGAAGCUGUGGCAUUGAUAUUAUUGGUAGGCCUUCGUGGUCCAGCCGUAUUGAUGGGUAGGAGAGCGUCGUGUGGCCAGCGAAGCGGCGGUGUGAACCAGCCGUGGAGGCUACACGAGUGAGAAUGCAGGCAUGAGUAGCGAAAGACAUGUGAGAAACAUGUCCUCCGAAAGACCAAGGGUUCCAGGGUCAAGCUAAUCUUCCCUGGGUAAGUCGGGACCUAAGGCGAGGCCGACAGGCGUAGUCGAUGGACAACGGGUUGAUAUUCCCGUACCGGCGAAGAACCGCCCAAGCUCAACCAGUAGUGCUAAGUAUCUGAAUCCCUUUGACGGAUCCCUUCGGGGUGAAGCGUUGGGCCUAGCGUACGACCCCAUUCUGGCGCGGCUAGCGUAUUAACAGGUGUGACGCAGGAAGGUAGCCCAACCCGGGCGAUGGUUGUCCCGGGGCAAGUGCGUAGGCCGAGAGGUAGGCAAAUCCGCCUCUCAUAUAAGGCUGAGACACGAUGCGGAUAAAAAGUGGGUGAUCCUAUGCUGCCAAGAAAAGCAUCGACGCGAGGUUCUAGCUGCCCGUACCCCAAACCGACUCAGGUGGUCAGGUAGAGAAUACUAAGGAGAUCGAGAGAAUCGUGGUUAAGGAACUCGGCAAAAUGCCCCCGUAACUUCGGGAGAAGGGGGGCCAUCGACGUAUUAGGACUUGCUCCGAAAGCGUUUGGUGGCCGCAGAGACUAGUGGGUAGCGACUGUUUACUAAAAACACAGGUCCGUGCCAAGUCGCAAGACGAUGUAUACGGACUGACGCCUGCCCGGUGCUGGAAGGUUAAGAGGAGGGGUUAGCGUAAGCGAAGCUCUGAAUUUAAGCCCCAGUAAACGGCGGUGGUAACUAUAACCAUCCUAAGGUAGCGAAAUUCCUUGUCGGGUAAGUUCCGACCU